This 266-nucleotide long non-coding RNA is filed under the name Elaeis guineensis (African oil palm). RNAcentral describes it as "long non-coding RNA (EGUI_LNC049996)". The record is from RNAcentral. Lineage: Eukaryota; Viridiplantae; Streptophyta; Magnoliopsida; Arecales; Arecaceae.
UGGUAUUCAGAUCGAGUUUUUAAUUUUGUCUUCAUUGCUCUCUUUUCUUUCUUACAACCUAUCUUAGUUUUAGGAUAAGGCUUUGAGAUUUAAGACAAAGUCUUAUUUGAUCCUACCAAGGGUUGUGAGAGUCUUAAAAAAGGAGAAUCAGAAGUCCAGAGGAGGUUCUGAGAGGAUAGAGUUAGGUUCUUGGAGAAAUCUGACUAGUACAGGGCUAGUCGAGUUCUAGGAGCUGGAACUCUUGAAGCAAGGAAAAGAAGGAGUGC